AGUGAACGCUGGCGGUAGGCCUAACACAUGCCAGUCGAACGGCAGCACAGUAAGAGCUUGCUCUUACGGGUGGCGAGUGGCGGACGGGUGAGGAAUACAUCGGAAUCUACUUUUUCGUGGGGGAUAACGUAGGGAAACUUACGCUAAUACCGCAUACUACCUACGGGUGAAAGCAGAGGAUCUUCGGACCUUGCGCGAUUGAAUGAGCCGAUGUCGGAUUAGCUAGUUGGCGGGGUAAAGGCCCACCAAGGCGACGAUCCGUAGCUGGUCUGAGAGGAUGAUCAGCCACACUGGAACUGAGACACGGUCCAGACUCCUACGGGAGGCAGCAGUGGGGAAUAUUGGACAAUGGGCGCAAGCCUGAUCCAGCAAUACCGCGUGGGUGAAGAAGGCCUUCGGGUUGUAAAGCCCUUUUGUUGGGAAAGAAAAGCAGCAGGUUAAUACCCCGCUGUUCUGACGGUACCCAAAGAAUAAGCACCGGCUAACUUCGUG
Molecule: ribosomal RNA, 492 nt
Filed under: uncultured bacterium
Lineage: Bacteria
Description: partial 16S ribosomal RNA
Rfam family: Bacterial small subunit ribosomal RNA
Source: RNAcentral